AGCUUGCUACUGGACCUAGCGGCGGACGGGUGAGUAAUGCUUAGGAAUCUGCCUAUUAGUGGGGGACAACAUCUCGAAAGGGAUGCUAAUACCGCAUACGUCCUACGGGAGAAAGCAGGGGAUCUUCGGACCUUGCGCUAAUAGAUGAGCCUAAGUCGGAUUAGCUAGUUGGUGGGGUAAAGGCCUACCAAGGCGACGAUCUGUAGC
Molecule: ribosomal RNA, 207 nt
Filed under: Acinetobacter baumannii OIFC083
Lineage: Bacteria; Pseudomonadati; Pseudomonadota; Gammaproteobacteria; Moraxellales; Moraxellaceae
Description: partial 16S ribosomal RNA
Rfam family: Bacterial small subunit ribosomal RNA
Source: RNAcentral